Molecule: ribosomal RNA, 253 nt
Filed under: uncultured bacterium
Lineage: Bacteria
Description: partial 16S ribosomal RNA
Rfam family: Bacterial small subunit ribosomal RNA
Source: RNAcentral
UACGUAGGGACCGAGCGUUGUCCGGAAUCAUUGGGCGUAAAGAGCGUGUAGGCGGCCAACUAAGUCCUGCGUGAAAUCUCGGGGCUCAACCCCGAGCGGCCGUGGGAAACUGGUUGGCUAGAGUGCGGGAGAGGAGAGUGGAAUUCCUGGUGUAGCGGUGAAAUGCGCAGAUAUCAGGAAGAACACCCGUGGCGAAGGCGGCUCUCUGGAACGCAACUGACGCUGAGGAGCGAAAGCUAGGGGAGCAAACGGG